RNAcentral lists this ribosomal RNA (392 nucleotides) under uncultured bacterium. RNAcentral's name for it is "partial 16S ribosomal RNA". It matches the Rfam family "Bacterial small subunit ribosomal RNA", at positions 523 to 918 of the family's 1533-position model. The record is from RNAcentral.
AUACGGAGGAUCCGAGCGUUAUCCGGAUUUAUUGGGUUUAAAGGGUGCGCAGGCGGCCAUUUAAGUCAGCGGUUAAAUCGUGGGGCUCAACCCCAUUCUGCCGUUGAUACUGGGUGGCUUGAUUGCGGUCGAGGUUGGCGGAAUUCGUUGUGUAGCGGUGAAAUGCAUAGAUAUGACGAAGAACACCGAUUGCGUAGGCAGCUGACCAGACCGCAAAUGACGCUCAUGCACGAAAGUGCGGGGAUCGAACAGGAUUAGAUACCCUGGUAGUCCGCACAGUAAACGAUGAAUGCUUGUUUUCGGCGAUAUAAUGUCGGAGGCAAAGCGAAAGCGAUAAGUAUUCCACCUGGGGAGUACGCCGGCAACGGUGAAACUCAAAUGAAUUGACGGGG